This 222-nucleotide long non-coding RNA is filed under the name Monodelphis domestica (gray short-tailed opossum). RNAcentral's name for it is "lncRNA (ENSMODG00000047253.1)". The record is from RNAcentral. Lineage: Eukaryota; Metazoa; Chordata; Mammalia; Didelphimorphia; Didelphidae.
CCCACAGCUAGCAUCCGACUCCUUUCUGGGGGAGGCAAGGCAGGAGAAGAGAGCGCCACGCAAUUUAGGGCUAAAGGAUUUGGAUCUCUUGCCAAGUCUUGGUCUCUCAAAAAUAUUGUCUUCAAGUUCCAAAGGACUCAUGCUGAAAAAUGCUCUCCAUCUCCAGGGAGAAACUGAUGAACUCCGAGUGCAAACUGAAACGAGAAAACUGAGACCCAGCAU